This is an RNA transcript of Scleropages formosus (Asian bonytongue), 2164 nucleotides long. It is a transcript of the gene named 26S proteasome non-ATPase regulatory subunit 3-like, with no coding region annotated. The transcript is spliced from 12 exons. The record is from RefSeq and is a predicted model, not a curated record. NCBI's taxonomy places the organism in Eukaryota, Metazoa, Chordata, Actinopteri, Osteoglossiformes, Osteoglossidae.
CCUCCAUAGUUGCCAGUCAUUCUCGCUGUUUGUGGGCGCAGAGAAGUUUAUGGAAUAAUAGACCGUGGCAGCCUGUGGCUGUGUAACGGUGCAUAAAAAAUAACUGUGUACUAAGUUUUCUGCCUUCUAAAUACAUUUAAGGAUGAAAGAAAGCGCGUCGAAGCGGCGGGAGAAGGAAAAGGAGAAGGAGAAGGAGAAAGGGAAGGAGAAGGAGAAGGGCAGAGCUGAGCAGCCGGGCCCCGAGCCCGUUGAUGUGGAGAUGCCGGAGGAGGAGGCGGGAGCGGCGGGGAAAACACACCGAGAGCAGGACACCCUCACACUGGAGGACAUCAAGGAGCAUGUGAAGCAGAUUGAGAAGGCGGUGUCGGGGAGAGAGCCCCGCUUUGUCCUGCGGGCCCUGAGGGCGCUGCCCUCCACAAGCCGCCGGCUCAACCCCAAUGUGCUGCACAAGGCCGUUUCUGGCUUCUACACAGCCAACACUGCUGGGAGGGAGUUCCUGCUGAGUUUCUUGGAGGAGCCAAUGGACACCGAGGGUGAUGUCCAGUUCCGGCCCAGGUCCGGCAAGGCAGCGGCCACCCCUCUGUUGCCCGAGGUAGAGGCCUACCUGCAGCUUCUACUGGUGGUGUAUCUCACCAACAACAAAUGCUACACAGAGGCCAAAAAGGUGUCUGAUGACCUCUUGCAAAAGAUUAGCUCUCAGAACCGCCGGGCACUGGACUUGGUGGCAGCCAAAUGUUACUACUACCACUCUCGUGUUUAUGAGUUUCUCAACCAGCUAGACACAAUUCGCAGUUUUCUUCACUCUCGCCUGCGGACAGCUACCCUGCGCCAUGAUGCAGAUGGCCAGGCCACACUGCUCAACCUGCUGCUGCGCAAUUACCUGCACUAUAAUCUGUACGACCAGGCUGAAAAGUUGGUGUCAAAAUCAGUGUUCCCUGAGCAGUCCAACAACAAUGAGUGGGCCCGUUACCUCUACUACACAGGUCGCAUCAAAGCCAUCCAGCUUGAGUACUCGGAGGCCAGAAGAACCCUCACCAACGCCCUGAGGAAGGCCCCCCAGCACACUGCUGUUGGUUUUAAGCAGACUGUACACAAGUUGCUUAUAGUGGUGGAGCUGCUACUUGGAGAGAUCCCGGACCGGCUGCAGUUCCGGCAGCCCUCACUGAAGCGCUCCCUCAUGCCUUACUUCCUGCUGACUCAAGCUGUGAGAACUGGUAACCUGGCCAAGUUCAACCAGGUCCUGGACCAAUUUGGAGAAAAGUUCCAGACUGAUGGCACCUACACGCUCAUUAUCCGGCUAAGACAUAACGUCAUCAAAACUGGAGUGCGCAUGAUAAGCCUGUCAUAUUCGCGCAUCUCGUUGGCCGAUAUCGCUGUCAAGCUGCAGCUUGACAGCCCUGAAGAUGCUGAAUUCAUUGUUGCCAAGGCAAUCCGAGAUGGGGUGAUUGAGGCCAGCAUAAACCAUGAAAAGGGCUAUGUCCAGUCUAAAGAGACCAUGGACAUCUAUGGCACCAGAGAGCCACAGCUAGCUUUCCACCAGAGAAUCUCCUUCUGCCUAGACAUUCACAACAUGUCAGUCAAGGCAAUGAGAUUUCCUCCCAAAUCAUAUAAUAAGGACCUUGAAUCUGCAGAGGUAUGGUUCCAUUCCCCCCCCCCCUCAGCUCAGCCCACCCUCUAACUUUGUGGAGUCGCCCCACGAGGAAUAGCGUGGUAGUGAGACAUCGUAGGAAGCUCCAUUUAGCAAUUACUGUAUUUAGGAUUGUUCCACACACUUAAAAUGUAUUGUUUUUCUAUCCACCCAGCACUGCUGCAAAGAAACCUUGAUUUAAUAAAAGAUAGUAUAGUUAAGGAAUAGUUUUUUCAAGUUGUACAUGGCUUUUUACCAUCUUUUACAAUGUUGGAUACAAAAGUUUAAAAAGUGCAACUUUGUCAGAUGGCACCAGAAUGUCUUUCCCAGAUAUAGGCAUCUUAUUAGUCACACCCCAGAAGUUGAAGAAUGCCACAAGGUGGCAACAUUUUGCAAAAGAUGCAGAUGGCUUUGGUUAUUCAGUUUGAAGUGAUGUCCCUACUUCCAGAGUAAAUUUUCAUUAAGAUAGAAGAUGCAUGAAGAAUAAGGCACUGUCAGAGAGCUAGGGUUUUAAAAGGAGCGUCGCGAGAGGGAGCA